Molecule: ribosomal RNA, 496 nt
Filed under: uncultured bacterium
Lineage: Bacteria
Description: partial 16S ribosomal RNA
Rfam family: Bacterial small subunit ribosomal RNA
Source: RNAcentral
AUGAACGCUGGCGGCGUGCCUAAUACAUGCAAGUCGAGCGAACAGACGAGGAGCUUGCUCCUCUGACGUUAGCGGCGGACGGGUGAGUAACACGUGGAUAACCUACCUAUAAGACUGGGAUAACUUCGGGAAACCGGAGCUAAUACCGGAUAAUAUAUUGAACCGCAUGGUUCAAUAGUGAAAGACGGUUUUGCUGUCACUUAUAGAUGGAUCCGCGCCGCAUUAGCUAGUUGGUAAGGUAACGGCUUACCAAGGCAACGAUGCGUAGCCGACCUGAGAGGGUGAUCGGCCACACUGGAACUGAGACACGGUCCAGACUCCUACGGGAGGCAGCAGUAGGGAAUCUUCCGCAAUGGGCGAAAGCCUGACGGAGCAACGCCGCGUGAGUGAUGAAGGUCUUCGGAUCGUAAAACUCUGUUAUUAGGGAAGAACAAAUGUGUAAGUAACUAUGCACGUCUUGACAGUACCUAAUCAGAAAGCCACGGCUAACUACGUG